GUAAGUCGGACUGUCGCGUGUCAUGGCGCCGAAAGGUAUUGGCAUGAGGAAAGUCCGGGCUUCACAGGGCAGGGAUAACGGAUAACGUCCGCCGGAGGCGACUCCCGGGAAAGUGCAACAGAAAUAGACCGCCCGCGACAGUGGGUAAGGAUGGAAAGGCGAGGUAAGAGCUCACCGGCACUGUGGCAACACCGUGCAAAUGUAAACCCUAUCCGAAGCAACACCGUAUGUGAGCGGGGCGACCCGCGCCUGCCCGGCGCAGUCUCACAGGUGGCUCGAGGCGUCCGGCGACGGGCGUCCCAGAUAGAUGACAGUCGUGUUCCUUAUGGAACAUACAAAACCCGGCUUACAGACUUGCUUC
Molecule: RNase P RNA, 361 nt
Filed under: bovine gut metagenome
Description: Bacterial RNase P class A
Rfam family: Bacterial RNase P class A
About the family: Ribonuclease P (RNase P) is a ubiquitous endoribonuclease, found in archaea, bacteria and eukarya as well as chloroplasts and mitochondria. Its best characterised activity is the generation of mature 5'-ends of tRNAs by cleaving the 5'-leader elements of precursor-tRNAs.
Source: RNAcentral